AGGGGGAUAACUACUGGAAACGGUAGCUAAUACCGCAUAACGUCUACGGACCAAAGUGGGGGACCUUCGGGCCUCAUGCCAUCAGAUGUGCCCAGAUGGGAUUAGCUAGUAGGUGGGGUAAUGGCUCACCUAGGCGACGAUCCCUAGCUGGUCUGAGAGGAUGACCAGCCACACUGGAACUGAGACACGGUCCAGACUCCUACGGGAGGCAGCAGUGGGGAAUAUUGCACAAUGGGCGCAAGCCUGAUGCAGCCAUGCCGCGUGUGUGAAGAAGGCCUUCGGGUUGUAAAGCACUUUCAGCGAGGAGGAAGGGUAGUGUGUUAAUAGCACAUUGCAUUGACGUUACUCGCAGAAGAAGCACCGGCUAACUCCGUGCCAGCAGCCGCGGUAAUACGGAGGGUGCAAGCGUUAAUCGGAAUUACUGGGCGUAAAGCGCACGCAGGCGGUUUGUUAAGUCAGAUGUGAAAUCCCCGCGCUUAACGUGGGAACUGCAUUUGAAACUGGCAAGCUAGAGUCUUGUAGAGGGGGGUAGAAUUCCAGGUGUAGCGGUGAAAUGCGUA
This 560-nucleotide ribosomal RNA is filed under the name Serratia sp. R11-6. RNAcentral describes it as "bacterial SSU rRNA". It matches the Rfam family "Bacterial small subunit ribosomal RNA", at positions 137 to 692 of the family's 1533-position model. RNAcentral also lists the same sequence under 1 other name. The record is from RNAcentral. Lineage: Bacteria; Pseudomonadati; Pseudomonadota; Gammaproteobacteria; Enterobacterales; Yersiniaceae.